AUUAGUUAUAGGUGCUUGCUUUCGAAAUCAAAUCGAGCAGGAGAUAUGUGAUGUUUUGUGUGAUGGCCAUUGUCUGUCUUAAACCACGGGGCAAAAAUCCCUGCCCCCUCUCAAUUUGGGACUAAUUUGCUGAAUUGUUAGGGUUUAUCCUAAAGGGACAAAUACAUGAUGCAAUGAAAGUUGGCAAAUAAAAUAACAAUUGCGAUUUAAUUUUUUGAUAGAGGCACAUCCUAUGAAAAACCUUAAGUAAUUUCCUUCUGAAACAGUAUUGUUGUGGAAAAAAAUGGAAAUACCUUGACGUUAUACCUUGUGAAAACGGGUUGAAAAACGACAAAAAUACAACUCUGAUGUCAGAGGCUGAGCAGACUCAGACUGAGUUACACCAUAACUUGACGGAUCCCUGGAAAGGUCGGCACAGGGCGAUGGCUGGGUCCCCUCCCUUCUCCCUCCCCGCAGGACGAAGCUGAAGUCGUGUCUGGGCAUGCCGGGGCUGCGCCGCCCCAUAUGAGCAUACGUGUGUCCCUGUUUCCGUGGAGAUGCUCAAAAUAUUCCCAGCUCAUUUUCCGAGCUCUGCACACCCAGCUCACCAGGAGCAGGAUGGUGGCGAGUCUGUCUUUUUCUAUCCCCUUUGCCUAGAAGGGCUCCUGGCACAUGCUGGGGACACAACCCAUGCCAGCCGCAGGCAAGGCUGCUCCAGGUGCCGUGCGGGGGACGGCCCCUCCGGGUUCUCCUUUAUUUCUCACGACACCCGUGUCAGGUGCGGCGAGAAUCAGACCAUUGUGUUCUCAAUCAAUAACUCAAGAACCAUUCCAAAGAGGAGAGCGGGAACCAAGAGCUUCAGAAUAAGUUAAAAAAACACUAAACCAAGAAAAUCCUGCAUGACAUCUAGGACAACACUUUCCGAUCCCAGCUACCUCAUUUUUACUUAAAGAGGAGAAAAAUAUACAAUUUUGUUCUUAAAUCCUGACUCUUCCAUGAUUGAUGAAGAUUUGGACCUACCAAAAGGCCAUCACUUUGGGGUAUUUUCCUCGGGUGGACAGUGGUUCAUUGCGAGCUGCUGCUUUUGCAAAGAAAAAGAGAUGUUCCAACAACAGAUUGAGCUGGCAGUGGAAGUCGCCUGGCUUGCUUUGGUAAAUGGAAAGAUGACCCAAUGACAAAUGGAAGGAUGACCCAAUGCAGACGAUCGCUCAUUUGGAACACAAAAUCCGAAGAUCUCAGGAUAGCGUCCACUGCCAGGUACUCACAAAACAGAAACUCACAUUAAGCUCCUUCGAAUAAAUAUGAAAAGUCAGACUACGAAAACUCAGAGCAACACAUAUUGAAGCCCGUGUGUCCAUGUUAUUCACUACUGCACGUGACUGUAUUUAUUGAAAUUCAUUAACUUAUCCUAAUUUAUUUAAAUAUCUUUAUCUGAUUGAUUGGAAAUUACAAAAAUGUAUAAAGGAAAUAAAAUAUCCCUAUUUACUA
This is a non-coding RNA of Equus caballus (horse), 1467 nucleotides long. The record is from RefSeq and is a predicted model, not a curated record. NCBI's taxonomy places the organism in Eukaryota, Metazoa, Chordata, Mammalia, Perissodactyla, Equidae.